Molecule: long non-coding RNA, 613 nt
Filed under: Ursus maritimus (polar bear)
Lineage: Eukaryota; Metazoa; Chordata; Mammalia; Carnivora; Ursidae
Description: lncRNA (ENSUMAG00000023738.1)
Source: RNAcentral
CAUAACAUUGGUCAAGUGCAAAAUCUUUUUUUUGUUCUUCCCUAGACUCUACUGACACUGGUGAAUAUUAGCAUACUGUGCUCUAAGCUCCUGAUUUAGCAUCAACUGAUCUUCUAGAAAUGGGCCAGGCCCUUGGGUGCAACCUAGGACUUUCACAGUGUUCUGGAGGAGGACCUCUGGAUGCUCCCUGCUUCUUGCUACGUGUUUGGGCAGACAGCACCCCGAGAGGCGAGUUGGCUCCAUCUGCGAUUUGGAAUUACGUGAAGAGAAAAUAUAAGGGGAUACGAAAACCAUGGUGACAAUCUUGGAAAAUGAGAUUAAGUCACAGCUGUAUAAGUUUUUUUAUGUGCUCUUACACACAACUGAUAGCAACAAAGAGAGCCACCUGUUUCCAGUCAGACACUGCCAAAUCUUUCAGAAGGAAAUUGGGACACGGAGAAAAAGUACCCGCUUUUUCAGUAAACUUACCCAACGGGAGAAGAAGCACCUUCCCCCGUGGACCUCAUCGAAACUCCUGGAUGGGGCCGUCCCAGGAGCUGCGAGCCUUGCUGCACCGGGUCUGAAGACUCAUGCAUUCUCCAGGCCUCUGCGAAGACACCGGUUUGUCCUUUGA